Molecule: ribosomal RNA, 815 nt
Filed under: Staphylococcus saprophyticus
Lineage: Bacteria; Bacillati; Bacillota; Bacilli; Caryophanales; Staphylococcaceae
Description: bacterial SSU rRNA
Rfam family: Bacterial small subunit ribosomal RNA
Source: RNAcentral
UANCAUGCAGUCGAUAGCGAACAGAUAAGGAGCUUGCUCCUUUGACGUUAGCGGCGGACGGGUGAGUAACACACGUGGGUAAACCUACCUAUAAGACUGGGAUAACUUCGGGAAACCGGCAAGCUAAUACCGGAUAACAUUUGGAACCGCAUGGUUCUAAAGUGAAAGAUGGUUUUGCUAUCACUUAUAGAUGGACCUGCGCGCCGUAUUAGCUAGUUGGUAAGGUAACGGCUUACCAAGGCGACGAUACGUAGCCGACCUGAGAGGGUGAUCGGCCACACUGGAACUGAGACACGGUCCAGACUCCUACGGGAAGAAGGCAGCAGUAGGGAAUCUUCCGCAAUGGGCGAAAGCCUGACGGAGCAACGCCGCGUGAGUGAUGAAGGGUUCAGCUCGGCUCGUAAAACUCUGUUAUUAGGGAAGAACAAACGUGUAAGUAACUGUGCACGUCUCUUGACGGUACCUAAUCAGAAAGCCACGGCUAACUACGUGCCAGCAGCCGCGGUAAUACGUAGGUGGCAAGCGUUAUCCGGAAUUAUUGGGCGUAAAGCGCGCGUAGGCGGUUUCUUAAGUCUGAUGUGAAAGCCCACGGCUCAACCGUGGAGGGUCAUUGGAAACUGGGAAACUUGAGUGCAGAAGCAGAGGAAAGUGGAAUUCCAUUGUGUAGCGGUGAAAUGCGCAGAGAUAAUGGAGGAACACACAGUGGCGAAGGCGACUUUCUGGUCUGUAACUGACGCUGAUGUGCGAAAGCGUGGGGAUCAAACAGGAUUAGAUACCCUGGUAGUCCACGCCGUAAACGAUGAGUGCUAAGUGUU